GUAUGGGGUUGCCGGAGCUAUGCGAGGAAGUGUUCGAUACCGUCGACCUUUACCGGGUGCUAGGCGUGCGGCGCGAGGCGUCCGACGGCGAGGUCCGACGGGACUACCACAAAGUGUCCUUGCAGGUGCACCCUGACCGGGUGGGCGAGGGCAACAAGGAGGACGCCACCUGCCGCUUCCAGAUCCUGGGGAAAGUCUAUUCCGUUUUAAGUGACAAAGAACAGAGAGCAGUGUACGAUGAACAGGGAACAGUGGACGAGGAAUCUGCUAUGCUUACUCAAGACCGGGAUUGGGAGGCAUACUGGAGAUUACUCUUUAAAAAGAUAUCUCUAGAGGACAUUCAAGCCUUUGAAAAGACAUACAAAGGUUCUGAAGAAGAGCUGGCUGAUAUUAAACAGGCACAUCUGGAUUUCAAGGGUGACAUGGAUCAGAUCAUGGAGUCUGUGCUUUGCGUGCAGUACACAGAGGAACCCAGGAUAAGGAAUAUUAUUCAGCAAGCUAUUGACACCGGAGAGGUCCCAUCCUAUAAUGCCUUUGUCAGAGAAUCGAAACAAAAGAUAAAUGCAAGGAAAAGGAGGGCUCAGAAAGAGGCCAGAGAAGCAGAAAUGAGCAGGAAGGAGUUGGGGCUUGACGAAGGAGUAGAUAACUUGAAAGCAGUCAUUCAGAACAGACAAAAGGAUCGGCAAAAGGAAAUGGACAAUUUUCUGGCUCAGAUGGAAGCAAAGUACUGCAAACCUUCCAAAGGAGGAGGGAAAAAAACAGCUCUCAAGAAAGAAAAGAAAUAAUGGAAUUUUUCUCUUCAAAGGACCUUAAGUGUUAAUUGGUGCCAUUGUAGGCAAGGUGUGGGCAAAAGUCAACCCAACCCUUAGAGGAGUUGUCUUUCCAGCCUAAAUUAUUCAGAUUGACUA
Molecule: RNA transcript, 908 nt
Organism: Propithecus coquereli (Coquerel's sifaka)
Lineage: Eukaryota; Metazoa; Chordata; Mammalia; Primates; Indriidae
Gene name: dnaJ homolog subfamily C member 9 pseudogene
Exons: 1
Source: RefSeq, a predicted model, not a curated record